RNAcentral lists this ribosomal RNA (1440 nucleotides) under Escherichia coli. RNAcentral's name for it is "bacterial SSU rRNA". It matches the Rfam family "Bacterial small subunit ribosomal RNA". The record is from RNAcentral. Lineage: Bacteria; Pseudomonadati; Pseudomonadota; Gammaproteobacteria; Enterobacterales; Enterobacteriaceae.
GAGUAAUGUCUGGGAAACUGCCUGAUGGAGGGGGAUAACUACUGGAAACGGUAGCUAAUACCGCAUAACGUCGCAAGACCAAAGAGGGGGACCUUAGGGCCUCUUGCCAUCGGAUGUGCCCAGAUGGGAUUAGCUAGUAGGUGGGGUAACGGCUCACCUAGGCGACGAUCCCUAGCUGGUCUGAGAGGAUGACCAGCCACACUGGAACUGAGACACGGUCCAGACUCCUACGGGAGGCAGCAGUGGGGAAUAUUGCACAAUGGGCGCAAGCCUGAUGCAGCCAUGCCGCGUGUAUGAAGAAGGCCUUCGGGUUGUAAAGUACUUUCAGCGGGGAGGAAGGGAGUAAAGUUAAUACCUUUGCUCAUUGACGUUACCCGCAGAAGAAGCACCGGCUAACUCCGUGCCAGCAGCCGCGGUAAUACGGAGGGUGCAAGCGUUAAUCGGAAUUACUGGGCGUAAAGCGCACGCAGGCGGUUUGUUAAGUCAGAUGUGAAAUCCCCGGGCUCAACCUGGGAACUGCAUCUGAUACUGGCAAGCUUGAGUCUCGUAGAGGGGGGUAGAAUUCCAGGUGUAGCGGUGAAAUGCGUAGAGAUCUGGAGGAAUACCGGUGGCGAAGGCGGCCCCCUGGACGAAGACUGACGCUCAGGUGCGAAAGCGUGGGGAGCAAACAGGAUUAGAUACCCUGGUAGUCCACGCCGUAAACGAUGUCGACUUGGAGGUUGUGCCCUUGAGGCGUGGCUUCCGGAGCUAACGCGUUAAGUCGACCGCCUGGGGAGUACGGCCGCAAGGUUAAAACUCAAAUGAAUUGACGGGGGCCCGCACAAGCGGUGGAGCAUGUGGUUUAAUUCGAUGCAACGCGAAGAACCUUACCUGGUCUUGACAUCCACGGAAGUUUUCAGAGAUGAGAAUGUGCCUUCGGGAACCGUGAGACAGGUGCUGCAUGGCUGUCGUCAGCUCGUGUUGUGAAAUGUUGGGUUAAGUCCCGCAACGAGCGCAACCCUUAUCCUUUGUUGCCAGCGGUCCGGCCGGGAACUCAAAGGAGACUGCCAGUGAUAAACUGGAGGAAGGUGGGGAUGACGUCAAGUCAUCAUGGCCCUUACGACCAGGGCUACACACGUGCUACAAUGGCGCAUACAAAGAGAAGCGACCUCGCGAGAGCAAGCGGACCUCAUAAAGUGCGUCGUAGUCCGGAUUGGAGUCUGCAACUCGACUCCAUGAAGUCGGAAUCGCUAGUAAUCGUGGAUCAGAAUGCCACGGUGAAUACGUUCCCGGGCCUUGUACACACCGCCCGUCACACCAUGGGAGUGGGUUGCAAAAGAAGUAGGUAGCUUAACCUUCGGGAGGGCGCUUACCACUUUGUGAUUCAUGACUGGGGUGAAGUCGUAACAAGGUAACCGUAGGGGAACCUGCGGUUGGAUCACCUCCUUACCUUAAAGAAGC